This is an RNA transcript of Sinocyclocheilus anshuiensis, 904 nucleotides long. It is a transcript of the gene named serine/threonine-protein phosphatase with EF-hands 2-like, with no coding region annotated. NCBI's taxonomy places the organism in Eukaryota, Metazoa, Chordata, Actinopteri, Cypriniformes, Cyprinidae. The transcript is spliced from 4 exons. The record is from RefSeq and is a predicted model, not a curated record.
UUAUAAUAAAGCCUAUUAAAUAUACCAGUGAUGAACGGGGAGAACUGGUCUGUUUGCCAAUGACAAACAUUAAAAAACUAAUUCAUGUGGCCGUGUUCAGCGUUCUGAGUUGGACGUCAGCUCUGAACAGCAGAGUAACAGGCUCAAACGCACGGAGGCCUUUAGCAGCUCUUUAUCUGUCUAUUCUGGGUUGGAGCCGAGCCGCAGUAUUAACCCUAAUCCAGCCGCAGCAUGUUGUUUUGAUGAAGUGGUCACGCGGAUCAGCUCCAUAUCUCACCAUCUGUCUCUCUCUACAGGUUCAUUGAGAGUGAAGUUGGUCACACUUCUUCAUAGGCUCUGCUGUCAUGGAGGGAUUCUGACAAACCCUCAGCAGCUGACUAACAUGACAUGGGAUGCGGAGUCACGAAAUCAAACCAACUGCAGCUGAAACCAUGCGAUCGCGGUGCGUGAACCACAAGAUGAUUAAAAAAUUCAGAGCUUUCAGCUGAAUAUCUGCCUGAGAAACAGCUCACAUUGCUCUGUGUCUGUCUUUGUCUCUGUCGUGUCUGUCUGUAGGAAACAUUUCCGUUCCAGCAGCUACAGGUCAGACGGAUCACAUGUUUCUGUGAGUCUAAAGAAACAUCACCGUCACUCAUGUCUCCUGCUGGCCUGACUUUCUCUCGUCUGUCUGUCUGUCUGUCUUUCUCUGUCUGUAUGAUGCGAUGCGGGCGGCGCUGCUCAUCCAGCGCUGGUACCGUCAGUAUGUGGCGCGGCUGGAGAUGAGACGCCGCUGCACCUGGAACAUCUUUCAGUCGAUAGAGUAUUCUGGACAACAGGAUCAUAUCAAGCUGUAUAAUUUCUUCGGUUACCUGAUGGAUCAUUUCAGUUCUGCCAACAGCCGAAGAAAGAAGCAAGUUCUUCAGCU